Molecule: small nuclear RNA, 133 nt
Organism: Oryctolagus cuniculus (rabbit)
Lineage: Eukaryota; Metazoa; Chordata; Mammalia; Lagomorpha; Leporidae
Gene: U2
Rfam family: U2 spliceosomal RNA
About the family: U2 is a small nuclear RNA (snRNA) component of the spliceosome (involved in pre-mRNA splicing). Complementary binding between U2 snRNA (in an area lying towards the 5' end but 3' to hairpin I) and the branchpoint sequence (BPS) of the intron results the bulging out of an unpaired adenosine, on the BPS, which initiates a nucleophilic attack at the intronic 5' splice site, thus starting the first of two transesterification reactions that mediate splicing.
Source: Ensembl
AUCACUUCUCGGCCUUUUGGCUAAGAUCAAGUGUAGUAUCAAAUAGAUAAGUAAGUCUUUAAGAAAAAAGUCAUCACCAAGGUGAGUGUUUGGCACAGCACUUAAGUUGCCACUUGAGAUGCCUGCACCCCCU